This 253-nucleotide ribosomal RNA is filed under the name uncultured bacterium. RNAcentral describes it as "partial 16S ribosomal RNA". It matches the Rfam family "Bacterial small subunit ribosomal RNA", at positions 524 to 776 of the family's 1533-position model. The record is from RNAcentral.
GACGUAGGGGGCAAGCGUUAUCCGGAUUUAUUGGGUUUAAAGGGAGCGUAGGCGGCCUUAUAAGUCAGUGGUGAAAUCUCGUUGCUUAACAACGAACGUGCCAUUGAUACUGUAGGGCUUGAGUACAGAUGCCGUUGGCGGAAUGUGUCAUGUAGCGGUGAAAUGCAUAGAUAUGACACAGAACACCGAUUGCGAAGGCAGCUGACGAAACUGUAACUGACGCUGAGGCUCGAAAGCGUGGGGAUCAAACAGG